AAAACUACUGUUAAUCCUGUAGAUGCAAUAUAUCAACCCAGUCCCUAGGAACCUGUAAUCAGCACAAUGCCUUCCCAGACUGUCUUACCUCCAGAACCAGCUCAGUUUUGUAAGUCAGAGCAGCGUCUGUCUUCCUUACCCAUUGAGCCUGAAUUAGCUACCUUGGGACAUCAUCAGACUCCAACAUGAAAUAGUACAGGCAGUUGGCAUUCACCACCUAGUAGCAGUCUAACUUCUUCAUGCCAUGUCACCUUGUCUCCAAAUACAGUUCCAGAGUUUUCUAACUGUAGCAGUGAAGAUGAUUUCUAUGAUGCUGAUGAAUUCUAUCAUCAUCCCCAAAACGGUUAAUAGAUUCUUCUGGUUCUGCCUCAGUCUUGACACAUAGCAGUUCGUGAAAUAGCCUAAAGCACCCAGAUACCACAGAAUCACUGAAUUCUUCCAUGUCCAAUGGUACAAGUGAUGCUGACCUUUUUGAUUCACAUGACUGAUAGAGACCAAGAUGGGGAGGCAGGAUCAGUGGAAGAGCACAAGAGUGUUAUCAUGCACUUCUUGUCACAGGUUAGGCUUGGAAUGGAUCUUACUAAGGUAGUUCUUCCAACAUUUAUUCUUGAAAGAAGAUCUCUUUUAGAGAUGUAUGCAGACUUUUUUUUUUUGCACAUCCGGACCUGUUUGUGAGCAUUAGUGACCAGAAAGUUCCCAGGGAUCGAAUGGUUCAGGUUGUGAAAUGGUACCUCUCCACAUUUCAUGCAGGAAGGAAAGGAUUGGUUGCCAAAAAGCCAUUUUGGGUGAGAUCUUUCAGUGUCACUGGACAUUACCAAAUGACACUGAAGAGAACACAGAGCUAGUUUCAGAAGGACCAGUUCCCUGGGUUUCCAAAAACAGUGUAACAAAAGUGGCUGAGCAGGUUUCCCAUCAUCCACCCAUUUCAGCCUUUUAUGCUGACUGUUUUAACAAGAAAAUCCAAUUCAAUGCUCAUAUCUGGACUAAAUCAAAAUUCCUUGGGAUGUCAAUUGGGGUGCACAUCAUAGGGAAAGGCUGUGUCUCAUGGCUAGACUAUGAUGAGCAUUACAUUCUCACAUUCCCCAAUGGUUAUGGAAGGUCUAUCCUCACAGUGCCCUGGGUGGAUCUAGGAGGAGAAUGCAAUAUUACUUGUUCCAAAACUGGUUAUAGUGCAAAUAUCAUCUUCCACACUAAACCUUUCUAUGGAGGCAAGAAACACAGAAUUACUGCUGAGAUUUUUUUCUCCAAAUGACAAGAAGUCUUUUUGCUCAAUUAAAGGGGAAUGGAAUGGUGUAAUGUAAGCAAAAUACACAACAGGGGAAAAUACAGUCUUUGUAGAUACCAAGAAGUUGCCUAUAGUCAAGAAGAAAGUGAGGAAGUUGGAAGAUCAGAAUGAAUAUGAGUCCCACUGCCUUUGGAAGGAUGUCACUUUCAAUUUAAAAAUCAGAGACAUUGAUGCAGCAACUGAAGCAAAGCACUGACUUGAAGAAAGACAAAGAGCAGAAGCUCGAGAAAGGAAAGAGAAGGAAAUUCAGUGGGAGACAAAGUUAUUCCAUGAAUGCUGGGUUUAUGAUGAACCAUUACUGAAAUGUCUUGGUGCCGUGAAGCAUUAG
This is a non-coding RNA of Marmota flaviventris (yellow-bellied marmot), 1613 nucleotides long. The record is from RefSeq and is a predicted model, not a curated record. Lineage: Eukaryota; Metazoa; Chordata; Mammalia; Rodentia; Sciuridae.